AUUAGACAGAGUUUGGGCCAUGCAAAUGACGGGAGUUUCCUGGGAGAAAUAACAAACCGGGAAACGUCCGGGAGAUAAAAAAUCGGCAGCAACAACCGGGGAAAACCGGGAGUGUUGACAGAUGCUGUUUACAAAUGGAUGCUGGUGAAUGCUCCAGAUGGAGAGACUGUUAGAAAUCAAGCCUCCCCUGCUGCUCAUCUUGGAGCUCUGGCUUCCAUCCCGUGGUUGUCACACCGCAGAGAGGAGCAUCUCCAGGGCUGGCGUAUAGGCUCUGCACACUGUGACCCAGAUACACAGCAGCGCACCCAGAACACAACCUGUCUCUCUGACUUCCCAUUCCUCCCUUCCCCUCAGACACGAAGCCUGCUGUGAUCCCUGAACAGUGAACACCCACUGGCCUUGGAGAUGGUUGUUAAGAUGAACAUAAUUUACCGCAUCACUGCGU
Non-coding RNA from Pimephales promelas (fathead minnow), 445 nucleotides. The record is from RefSeq and is a predicted model, not a curated record. Lineage: Eukaryota; Metazoa; Chordata; Actinopteri; Cypriniformes; Leuciscidae.